This 371-nucleotide ribosomal RNA is filed under the name uncultured organism. RNAcentral's name for it is "bacterial SSU rRNA". It matches the Rfam family "Bacterial small subunit ribosomal RNA", at positions 526 to 896 of the family's 1533-position model. The record is from RNAcentral.
CAGAGGGUGCAAGCGUUAAUCGGAAUUACUGGGCGUAAAGCGUACGUAGGUGGAUUGAUAAGUCGGAUGCGAAAGCCCCGGGCUUAACCUGGGAAUUGCAUACGAUACUGUUAAUCUAGAGUCGUGUAGAGGGAAGUGGAAUUUCCGGUGUAGCGGUGAAAUGCGUAGAUAUCGGAAAGAACACCAGUGGCGAAGGCGGCUUCCUGGACACAGACUGACACUGAAGUACGAAAGCGUGGGGAGCAAACAGGAUUAGAUACCCUGGUAGUCCACGCCGUAAACGAUGAGAACUAGAUGUUGGAAGGUUAAACCUUUUAGUAUCGAAGCUAACGCGUUAAGUUCUCCGCCUGGGGAGUACGGCCGCAAGGUUA